Molecule: ribosomal RNA, 496 nt
Filed under: uncultured bacterium
Lineage: Bacteria
Description: partial 16S ribosomal RNA
Rfam family: Bacterial small subunit ribosomal RNA
Source: RNAcentral
GAUGAACGCUGGCGGCGUGCCUAAUACAUGCAAGUCGAGCGAACAGACGAGGAGCUUGCUCCUUCGACGUUAGCGGCGGACGGGUGAGUAACACGUAGGUAACCUACCUAUAAGACUGGGAUAACUUCGGGAAACCGGAGCUAAUACCGGAUAAUAUUUCGAACCGCAUGGUUCGAUAGUGAAAGAUGGCUUUGCUAUCACUUAUAGAUGGACCUGCGCUGUAUUAGCUAGUUGGUAAGGUAACGGCUUACCAAGGCAACAAUACGUAGCCGACCUGAGAGGUGAACGGCACCAAUGGGAAUGAGGAAAGGGGCAGAAACCGAAGGGAGGGCAGAGGGAGGGAACUUUCGCAAAGGGGGAAAAGCUUAACGAGGAAAACCGCGGGAGGGAAGAAAGGCUUCCGAGAAGGAAAAACCAUUAAUAAGGGAAAAACAAUGGUGUAAGUAAAUGGGAACGUCUGGAGGGUACCUAAGAAGAAAGCCACGAUUAACUACGG